RNAcentral lists this ribosomal RNA (680 nucleotides) under Lacticaseibacillus paracasei. RNAcentral describes it as "bacterial SSU rRNA". It matches the Rfam family "Bacterial small subunit ribosomal RNA", at positions 64 to 796 of the family's 1533-position model. The record is from RNAcentral. Lineage: Bacteria; Bacillati; Bacillota; Bacilli; Lactobacillales; Lactobacillaceae.
GCACGAGAUUCAACAUGGAACGAGUGGCGGACGGGUGAGUAACACGUGGGUAACCUGCCCUUAAGUGGGGGAUAACAUUUGGAAACAGAUGCUAAUGCCGCAUAGAUCCAAGAACCGCAUGGUUCUUGGCUGAAAAGAUGGCGUAAGCUAUCGCUUUUGGAUGGACCCGCGGCGUAUUAGCUAGUUGGUGAGGUAANGGCUCACCAAGGCGAUGAUACGUAGCCGAACUGAGAGGUUGAUCGGCCACAUUGGGACUGAGACACGGCCCAAACUCCUACGGGAGGCAGCAGUAGGGAAUCUUCCACAAUGGACGCAAGUCUGAUGGAGCAACGCCGCGUGAGUGAAGAAGGCUUUCGGGUCGUAAAACUCUGUUGUUGGAGAAGAAUGGUCGGCAGAGUAACUGUUGUCGGCGUGACGGUAUCCAACCAGAAAGCCACGGCUAACUACGUGCCAGCAGCCGCGGUAAUACGUAGGUGGCAAGCGUUAUCCGGAUUUAUUGGGCGUAAAGCGAGCGCAGGCGGUUUUUUAAGUNUGAUGUGAAAGCCCUCGGCUUAACCGAGGAAGCGCAUCGGAAACUGGGAAACUUGAGUGCAGAAGAGGACAGUGNNCCUCCAUGUCGCAUNNGNNACCCUGGUAGUCCANUAGAUACCCUGGUAGUCCAUUAGAUACCCUGGUAGUCC